Molecule: transfer RNA, 76 nt
Filed under: Patescibacteria group bacterium
Lineage: Bacteria
Description: tRNA-Thr
Rfam family: tRNA
About the family: Transfer RNA (tRNA) molecules are approximately 80 nucleotides in length. Their secondary structure includes four short double-helical elements and three loops (D, anti-codon, and T loops).
Source: RNAcentral
GCCGUUGUAGCUCAGCUGGUAGAGCACUUCCAUGGUAAGGAAGAGGUCACCGGUUCAAUCCCGGUCAACGGCUCCA